RNAcentral lists this ribosomal RNA (300 nucleotides) under Leptopelis millsoni (Niger forest treefrog). RNAcentral describes it as "partial large subunit ribosomal RNA". The record is from RNAcentral. Lineage: Eukaryota; Metazoa; Chordata; Amphibia; Anura; Arthroleptidae.
UUUAAACAAACUUCAAUUGCUCCMUACUACACCAUAAAAAUUGAGCAGUAMUGAUUGUUAGUUUUAGGUUGGGGYGACCGCGGAGUAAAACAAAACCUCCACAAUGAACGUAAUAAAAUUYUAAUAAAAGAACCACAAUUYUACAAAUCAAAAAAUUGACAUAAAUUGACCCAAACGCUUGAUCAAUGAACCAAGUUACCYUGGGGAUAACAGCGCAAUCCAUUUCAAGAGCCCUUAUCGACAAAUGGGUUUACGACCUCGAUGUUGGAUCAGGGUGUCCAAGUGGYGUAGCAGCUACUA